Myotis lucifugus (little brown bat) is the source of this 74-nucleotide non-coding RNA. The record is from Rfam. Lineage: Eukaryota; Metazoa; Chordata; Mammalia; Chiroptera; Vespertilionidae.
CUGGCGGGGGCAGGGGCCCUCAGCCCGGAUUGCGAGAGGGCGCAGGCCAGGCUGAGGGACCCCACCGGUGCACA